Long non-coding RNA from Triticum dicoccoides, 751 nucleotides. RefSeq lists it as uncharacterized. NCBI's taxonomy places the organism in Eukaryota, Viridiplantae, Streptophyta, Magnoliopsida, Poales, Poaceae. The record is from RefSeq and is a predicted model, not a curated record. The transcript is spliced from 2 exons.
CGCCCACUGCUCGAUCCCGAUAGCCGCCUCGCAUCACCGAGUCGCCCCUCGCCGCCGUUCGCGCCCGGCGCCCCUGCCGCCGCCCUGUCCGGCGCCCGCCUCUUCUCCAGCUCGCUCGCCUGGCCCUCGAUCCAGGGCUCCAGCCUCCAGGCGCAUCUCUCUGGCGCGCGGCGAGCCCCAGCGCGCGGCUGCGCCUUGGCCCUACCGGCCGGAGUCCGGCUACCUGCGCCCCUGCCGCCGCUUGUUGGGCGGCUGCCUGUGCCUGGCGGCCCUGCCCUCGCCCCCUCCAAAUCCGGUAGCAGUGAACCAGUGAGCUUUGUUGAUAGGAAGCAGUACUUGUCCAAACAGGAAAAAAUAUAGUUCAUCAUUUGAUGUACUUGUUUUUAAAAUUGGUAUUGAUUCUCCCGGUGGCAACGGCAAAUGUUGAGAGAGCAUUUUUUGCCAUGAGUUUUGUCAACAACAAGUUGAGAAAUAAGAUGGGCGAUAGUCUUUUGGAUGAUUGCCUAGUCAGAUACAUUGAGAGGGAUGCUUCCUCCGACGUGAAUGAAGAUGACAUAAUUGAUAUCUUCAUGGCAAUGCAAAAACGUUGGCUAGAAAGAUAGUCUUUUUGAACUUCUCAAGGUAUGUGAUAUGGUCCAUGUACUAUUUACAUGUAGGCUUCUUUAUGCAAAACUAGAUUUAAUUGAGAACUUUAAUGUGUUCGUAAGACCAUAUUGAUCUAUUUCUAUGUGCUAUUGAUAAUUAGUUAGAA